UUGACAGAAGAGAGUGAGCACACGGGGUGAUAGCCGGCAUAAUAUCUAUCCCGUCCUCGCCGCGUGCUCACUCCUCUUUCUGUCAC
Oryza brachyantha (malo sina) is the source of this 86-nucleotide non-coding RNA. NCBI's taxonomy places the organism in Eukaryota, Viridiplantae, Streptophyta, Magnoliopsida, Poales, Poaceae. The record is from Rfam.